RNAcentral lists this ribosomal RNA (1672 nucleotides) under Mortierella alpina ATCC 32222. Its description in RNAcentral is "bacterial LSU rRNA". It matches the Rfam family "Bacterial large subunit ribosomal RNA", at positions 1339 to 2925 of the family's 2925-position model. The record is from RNAcentral. Lineage: Eukaryota; Fungi; Mortierellomycota; Mortierellomycetes; Mortierellales; Mortierellaceae.
GAAUGCCUAAGGGUUCCAUAGAAAAAUUAAAUUGCUAUGGGUUAAACGGUCUCUAAGAAUAUAAGCGAAAGCUUUGAUUGAUGAGGAAUUUAUUAUAAAUAUAUUUAAUAAAAAAUAAAUUUAUUAAAACUAAUUGAUUUAUUUUUUUUAUUUAUACAGGAAAAAAUAAUAUAAAAUAUACCGUACUCUAAACCGACACUGGUAGGCAGGUAGAAUAUACUAAGGUGUUGAGAGAACUCUCCUGAAGGAACUAGGCAAAAUAACUCUGUAAUUUCGAAAGAAAGAGUGGCUAUUAAAUUAUAUUUAAUAGCUGGCACAUAAAUGUGAGGUACGACUGUUUACUAAAAACACAGCACUUUGCUAACAUAAAAAUGGAUGUAUAAAGUGUGAUACCUGCUCAAUGCCAAACGUAUAAAAUUUUUGGUUUUACGAUCAAAAAUUAAACAUUGGUCAAUAGCGGCUGUAACUAUGACAGUCCUAAGGUAGCGAAAUACCUAGUCGGAUAAUUGCCGACGUGCAUGAAUGGUUUAACGAUACUUCAACUGUCUCCAGGAGAGACUCAGUGAAAUUGAAUUAACCGUGAUGAUGCGGUUUACCUACAGCUAGACACGAAGACCCUAUGAAGCUUUACUGUAGUUAAUUAUUGUUAAUUUUUUAUUAAGAUACAGCAAUAAGGUAGUUGAUUAAACAAAACUGAGAGCCCUUAACUUAAUAUAAAAUUAACUAAGAUAGUAUUUAAUCUUUAUAUAACUUUUCCUUGUGCCGUUAGGUAAAGAUCUUAAAAAUCUUUGAUUUUUAGGUUCUUAUAAGUAGAAAUAUAUAAAGUUUAUUGAAUAUUCUUCCUUGAUAAAAUCAAGGACCUGGAAAAUUUUAUAAAUAAUAUUAUUUAUAAAGGUUCCCCAAAGGGAAAAUGAUUAAUUGGCAGUUUACCUGGGGCGGGAUUCUCAUAAAUAGUAUCUGAGAAGUACAAAGGUUUGUUUAAAUUGGAUGGAAACCAAUGGGUUUAUGAUAACCUAAUAAAGCGUAAUGGUAUAAACAAGCUUAACUGUAAGACAAAAAAGUCGAACAGACGCGUAAGCGGGUCAUAGUGAUCCGAUAGUUUCAUUAUGGAAUGGCUAUCGCACAACUGAUAAAAGUUACUCUAGGGAUAACAGGCUAGUCACUGACGAGAGUCCAUAUUGACUCAGUGGUCCGGCACCUCGAUGUCGACUCAUCUUUUCCUGGGGGUUGUAGUUGCUCCCAAGGGUUCGACUGUUCGUCGAGUAAAAAGGUACGUGAGUUGGGUUUAAUACGAUGUGAAUCAGUAUUGAUUAUAUCUACUGUAGGAAUUAGAAUAAGAAUGGCAGUUUAUCUUAGUACGCAAGGACCAGAUUAAGUGCACCUAUGGUUUACCAGUUGUAUAACAUUUGAAUAAAUGAAUGCAUGGCUGGAAAGCUAUGUGCAUAAAUGAUAACUACUGAAAGCAUAUAAGUAGGAAACAGAGCUAUGAAUUAUUCUUUUCCUUUCAUCUUUUGGAUGUAAAGGAAGUAAAAUUAGCAAUAGACUAUUGCUUUGAUAGGCUACCUAAUUAUCUUUAAAAAGAUAAGGGAUAAUUAAUUAAAAAUUAAUUAAGAGGUGUAAGAAUAGUAAUAUUUUAAGCCAUCUAGUACUAAUGAUUGAAAAUCUUGAAAAU